RNAcentral lists this ribosomal RNA (397 nucleotides) under uncultured bacterium. RNAcentral describes it as "bacterial SSU rRNA". It matches the Rfam family "Bacterial small subunit ribosomal RNA", at positions 28 to 430 of the family's 1533-position model. The record is from RNAcentral.
GACGAACGCUGGCGGCGUGCUUAACACAUGCAGGUCGAGCGGUAAGGCCCUUUCGGGGGUACACGAGCGGCGAACGGGUGAGUAACACGUGGGUGACCUGCCCUCAGCUCUGGGAUAAGCCUGGGAAACCGGGUCUAAUACCGGAUAUGACUCCAUGACGCAUGUUGUGGGGUGGAAAGCCUUGUGCGGCUGAGGAUGGGCCCGCGGCCUAUCAGCUUGUUGGUGGGGUGAUGGCCUACCAAGGCGACGACGGGUAGCCGGCCUGAGAGGGCGACCGGCCACACUGGGACUGAGACACGGCCCAGACUCCUACGGGAGGCAGCAGUGGGGAAUCUUGCGCAAUGGGCGAAAGCCUGACGCAGCGACGCCGCGUGAGGGAUGACGGCCUGGUGUAACU